GAUGAACGCUGGCGGCGUGCCUAAUACAUGCAAGUCGAGCGAACAGACGAGGAGCUUGCUCCUUUGAUGUUAGCGGCGGACGGGUGAGUAACACGUAGGUAACCUACCUAUAAGACUGGGAUAACUUCGGGAAACCGGAGCUAAUACCGGAUAAUAUUUCGAACCGCAUGGUUCGAUAGUGAAAGAUGGCUUUGCUAUCACUUAUAGAUGGACCUGCGCCGUAUUAGCUAGUUGGUAAGGUAACGGCUUACCAAGGCAACGAUACGUAGCCGACCUGAGAGGGUGAUCGGCCACACUGGAACUGAGACACGGUCCAGACUCCUACGGGAGGCAGCAGUAGGGAAUCUUCCACAAUGGGCGAAAGCCUGACGGAGCAACGCCGCGUGAGUGAUGAAGGUCUUCGGAUCGUAAAACUCUGUUAUUAGGGAAGAACAAACGUGGAAGUAACUGUGCACGUCUUGACGGUACCUAAUCAGAAAGCCACGGCUAACUACGUG
Molecule: ribosomal RNA, 497 nt
Filed under: uncultured bacterium
Lineage: Bacteria
Description: partial 16S ribosomal RNA
Rfam family: Bacterial small subunit ribosomal RNA
Source: RNAcentral